ACUCCUACGGGAGGCAGCAGUAGGGAAUCUUCCACAAUGGGCGAAAGCCUGAUGGAGCAACGCCGCGUGGGUGAAGAAGGUCUUCGGAUCGUAAAACCCUGUUGUUAGAGAAGAAAGUGCGUGAGAGUAACUGUUCACGUUUCGACGGUAUCUAACCAGAAAGCCACGGCUAACUACGUGCUAGCAGCCGCGGUAAUACGUAGGUGGCAAGCGUUAUCCGGAUUUAUUGGGCGUAAAGGGAACGCAGGCGGUCUUUUAAGUCUGAUGUGAAAGCCUUCGGCUUAACCGGAGUAGUGCAUUGGAAACUGGGAGACUUGAGUGCAGAAGAGGAGAGUGGAACUCCAUGUGUAGCGGUGAAAUGCGUAGAUAUAUGGAAGAACACCAGUGGCGAAAGCGGCUCUCUGGUCUGUAACUGACGCUGAGGUUCGAAAGCGUGGGUAGCAAACAGGAUUAGAUACCCCUGGUAGGAUAGCG
RNAcentral lists this ribosomal RNA (474 nucleotides) under uncultured bacterium. RNAcentral's name for it is "bacterial SSU rRNA". It matches the Rfam family "Bacterial small subunit ribosomal RNA", at positions 335 to 799 of the family's 1533-position model. The record is from RNAcentral.